RNAcentral lists this long non-coding RNA (926 nucleotides) under Fukomys damarensis (Damara mole-rat). Its description in RNAcentral is "lncRNA (ENSFDAG00000023153.1)". The record is from RNAcentral. Lineage: Eukaryota; Metazoa; Chordata; Mammalia; Rodentia; Bathyergidae.
AUGCAAGAUGAUCUUCAGGGUGAAGACGAGAUACAGGCCCCAACUCAACACCACCCAAUGAGGAAUAUUUUGUACACAACGUCAGACGCCCAUGAAGACAAAUUUCUUGGUGCAGAAACCAGUAAGUUACCUCAAUAUUGUCUACACCUGCCACCCUGCAAGAGGCCUCUGCAUCAAGAUUUGAUGGAAUGUCGGAAUUCCUCCUCCAUCUCACGUUCCCAUGUACCUUCCGCCUUUGCUAGUAACCAUUUGAUGACCACAGGAUGUACCGAAAGGAAAAGAGCCAUGAAUGUUUACUACAUGCGUGUCCUAACCAGAAGGGGCGUCGCUAUCUUUGAGGAUCCAUCUGGAGAAUUGCAGCCUCCCCCAAAAAGGAUAAGCAUAGCCAAACUUACCUUUCCUGAGAGGAUUCCUCCAAAAGUUACCCUCACUGACGAUACACAGCACGUCCUAACUAACAGUGAAGUCCAAGAGGAAUGGGAACAGGCUGAGAGUGCAGCAGAGCCUCUGGCUCAGGAGGCCCGUCCCAGCGCUAAAUCACGUCCAUGGCUGGAGGACCUAGAGAGGGGCUUCAGGUGCAUGGGCUGCUGCAGGGUCUUCCGCACUUUGGAGAUCCUUCUGAAACACGUGGAGUGUGGCGUUGAGGAGGGCUUUUCCUGCCUUACUUUCCACCUUGCCUUUGCCAGGCUGCGGAGAAAAUACAAGAAGGAAAGAAAGAAGAUUGUUAAGGAUGGAGAAUGGCCAUAUUAGCACAACAUCUGGAGGCUCUAGAUGUAGUUUUGUUACAUUCGUAUUUUGAAUUUCUUUGUCAGUUUGUGUUUUGCUUUUUUAAUAAAUACAAAUUUUCCUAUCUUUGAUGGUUAGGAGAGGUUGUAUAUAAGUUUAGACUUCAGUACCACAAACUUGUGGUCUUAAAUCUCUUCCCU